AGAGUCCACACAAAGGGCUUAAUGGAAGCUGAGAAAGUAUCAGGCAUUAUUCAUGGUUGUUGCCCCAAUCCUCUCCUUAUACUUCUUGAGCCUCAAAACCAACAGCCUCUUCCUAAGCCCAAAAGCACAACUGCAUCUUGCAGGCACACCUUUGCAGCCACAACAACUUCCUCUUUUUUCCCAAACACUCAUUUUACUAACCAUGAAUCCCUUCCUUCCUAUCAAGAAUCAUUUGCUCACUUCCUCAAAGCUUAUCCUAAGUAUUCCGAAUCUCGACAAGUCGACAAGAUUCGGAAUCAAGAAUAUUAUCAUCUCUCAGUUUCUAACCAUGUGUGCAUGGAUUACAUUGGCAUUGGUCUCUUCUCAUACUCACAGGUGGUCCCGGUCACAUCCUCCUCUUCUUCUUCUUCGCCGUCAUCUCAUGAAUAUCCUUUCUUUGACAUAUCUUGCAAGUCUGUGGAUCUCAAAUACGAGCUAUUACAUGGCGGAGAUGGAUCACAAUUGGAAUCCUGUAUCAAGAAAAAGAUCAUGAAUUUUCUUAACAUGUCUACGAAUGAAUAUUCCAUGGUGUUUACUGCUAAUAGAUCAUCAGCUUUCAAGCUUAUAGCCGAAUCUUACCCUUUCAAAACGAGUCGAAAGCUUCUUACCGUUUAUGAUCAUGAGAGUGAAGCAUUGGAGAGUAUGGUCAAUACAUCAGAGAAAAGAGGGGCUAACAUAAUGUCAGCAGAAUUUAAAUGGCCACGGCU
Molecule: unclassified non-coding RNA, 746 nt
Filed under: Hevea brasiliensis (rubber tree)
Lineage: Eukaryota; Viridiplantae; Streptophyta; Magnoliopsida; Malpighiales; Euphorbiaceae
Source: RNAcentral